Molecule: ribosomal RNA, 467 nt
Filed under: uncultured bacterium
Lineage: Bacteria
Description: partial 16S ribosomal RNA
Rfam family: Bacterial small subunit ribosomal RNA
Source: RNAcentral
GACGAACGCUGGCGGCGUGCUUAACACAUGCAAGUCGAACGGAAAGGCCCUGCUUUUGUGGGGUGCUCGAGUGGCGAACGGGUGAGUAACACGUGAGUAACCUGCCCUUGACUUUGGGAUAACUUCAGGAAACUGGGGCUAAUACCGGAUAGGAGCUCCUGCUGCAUGGUGGGGGUUGGAAAGUUUCGGCGGUUGGGGAUGGACUCGCGGCUUAUCAGCUUGUUGGUGGGGUAGUGGCUUACCAAGGCUUUGACGGGUAGCCGGCCUGAGAGGGUGACCGGCCACAUUGGGCCUGAGAUACGGCCCAGACUCCUUCGGGGGGCAGCAGUGGGGAAUAUUGCACAAUGGGCGGAACCCUGAUGCAGCAACCCCGCGUGCGGGAUGCCGGCCUUCGGGUUGUAACCCGCUUUCGCCUGUGACGAAGCGUGAGUGCCGGUAAUGGGUAAAGAAGCCCCGCCUACCUCCUU